This 62-nucleotide transfer RNA is filed under the name Eremobates cf. palpisetulosus SEM-2008. Its description in RNAcentral is "tRNA-Phe". Lineage: Eukaryota; Metazoa; Arthropoda; Arachnida; Solifugae; Eremobatidae. The record is from RNAcentral.
AUUUAUAUAGCUUAAUUAGAGCGUGACAUUGAAGAUGUUAAGGUAGUAUUAACUUGUAAAUA